CGGGCGAGGCGCCGGUCUAAGUCCCUUGGAACGGGGCGUCAGAGAGGGUGAGAAUCCCGUACGCGACCGGUGACCGAGUCCAUGUGAAACCCCUUCGACGAGUCGAGUUGUUUGGGAAUGCAGCUCAAAAUGGGUGGUAAAUUCCAUCUAAAGCUAAAUACCGGCCAGAGACCGAUAGCGCACAAGUAGAGUGAUCGAAAGAUGAAAAGCACUUUGGAAAGAGAGUCAAACAGUACGUGAAAUUGUUGAAAGGGAAGCGCUUGCAACCAGACCUGCCCGCGGGCGAUCAACCGUCCUUCUGGGCGGCGUACUCGCCCGCGAUCAGGCCAGCAUCGGUUCGGGCGGUCGGAUAAAGGCCUUGGGAACGUAGCCCACUUCGGUGUGGGUGUUAUAGCCCUCGGUGCAAUGCGGCCCGCCCGGACCGAGGACCGCGCUUCGGCUAGGAUGCUGGCGUAAUGGUUGUCAGCGGCCCGUCUUGAAACACGGACCAAGGAGUCUAACAUCUAUGCGAGUGUUUGGGUGUCAAACCCAUGCGCGCAAUGAAAGUGAACGGAGGUGGGAACCCUUCGCGGGGCGCACCAUCGACCGAUCCAGAUGUCUUCGGAUGGAUUUGAGUACGAGCAUAGCUGUUGGGACCCGAAAGAUGGUGAACUAUGCCUAAAUAGGGUGAAGCCAGAGGAAACUCUGGUGGAGGCUCGCAGCGGUUCUGACGUGCAAAUCGAUCGUCAAAUUCGGGCAUAGGGGCGAAAGACUAAUCGAACCAU
RNAcentral lists this ribosomal RNA (764 nucleotides) under Cerothallia luteoalba. RNAcentral's name for it is "LSU rRNA". It matches the Rfam family "Eukaryotic large subunit ribosomal RNA", at positions 165 to 943 of the family's 3401-position model. Lineage: Eukaryota; Fungi; Ascomycota; Lecanoromycetes; Teloschistales; Teloschistaceae. The record is from RNAcentral.